RNAcentral lists this ribosomal RNA (253 nucleotides) under uncultured bacterium. RNAcentral's name for it is "partial 16S ribosomal RNA". It matches the Rfam family "Bacterial small subunit ribosomal RNA", at positions 524 to 776 of the family's 1533-position model. The record is from RNAcentral.
UACGGAGGAUGCAAGCGUUAUCCGGAUUCAUUGGGUUUAAAGGGUGCGCAGGCGGAAUGAUAAGUCAGUGGUGAAAUUCAACGGCUCAACUGUUGACCUGCCAUUGAUACUGUCAAUCUAGAGUAUAGUUGGAGUGGGCGGAAUGUGUCAUGUAGCGGUGAAAUGCUUAGAUAUGACACAGAACACCGAUCGCGAAGGCAGCUCACUAAACUAAAACUGACGCUCAUGCACGAAAGCGUGGGGAUCAAACAGG